RNAcentral lists this ribosomal RNA (446 nucleotides) under uncultured bacterium. RNAcentral's name for it is "bacterial SSU rRNA". It matches the Rfam family "Bacterial small subunit ribosomal RNA", at positions 354 to 796 of the family's 1533-position model. The record is from RNAcentral.
GUAAGGAAUAUUGGACAAUGGAGGCAACUCUGAUCCAGCCAUGCCGCGUGAAGGAUGAAGGCCCUACGGGUUGUAAACUUCUUUUCUCUUAGAAAAAACUACUGGUUUCGUACCGGUACUGAUUGUACAAGAGGAAUAAGCAUCGGCUAACUUCGUGCCAGCAGCCGCGGUAAUACGAAGGAUGCAAGCGUUAUCCGGAUUCACUGGGUUUAAAGGGUGUGCAGGUGGGGUAAUAAGUCAGUGGUGAAAGCCCCCGACUCAAUCGGGGAACUGCCAUAGAUACUGUUAUUCUUGAGUGUGGUUGAGGCGGAUGGAAUAUGACAUGUAGCGGUGAAAUGCUUAGAUAUGUCAUAGAACACCGAUCGCGAAGGCAGUCCGCCAAACCAUUACUGACACUGAAACACGAAAGUGCGGGGAUCAAACAGGAUUAGAUACCCCAGUAGUCC